Molecule: long non-coding RNA, 535 nt
Filed under: Brachypodium distachyon (stiff brome)
Lineage: Eukaryota; Viridiplantae; Streptophyta; Magnoliopsida; Poales; Poaceae
Description: long non-coding RNA (BDIS_LNC001242)
Source: RNAcentral
AGUUAUUUGUUGGUCUAUUUAAAUUUUUUGUAAUGACUUUGUUUCUCAUUUAAGAAAAGCUUCCAAUUUCUCUAUAGAUCGUCCUGUUGGUGCUGGACUUGAUUGGAACUUGGUUGCUACUGCAAGACGUGUAGGCACAGGGCUUGUUGCGGUCAUCUAAACAUGGUACUCCCUCCGACCCAUAUUAUUUGUCGCAGAUUUAGUAUAUGUUAUUUAUUUAACCAGUAUGGAUGACAUGGUAACGACAGGGUCGAUGGGACAUAAUGUUAUGGCCUUUUGAGGCUUGCAAUUCCAUUUUGUUUACUGAAUAUUUAUUUUGUUGCACGAUACUCGAUAAUAAUAUAGGGGCUGUGUGACUCAUCCGCGCAGAGGCUAGGGUAUCUCCUCCUUUAAGAAAAGAAAAAAAAAUGUGCCGGAAGAGUUAUGCUAUACCGAUUUUCUAUGGACAAGGAAAGAAAGAAUGUGAGGGUGCCAUCUGCAUAGCGAUUUUCCGGUGAGCCUCAAAGUUUUAGAUAAAUAUGAAAAAUAUCCAUGC